Molecule: non-coding RNA, 392 nt
Organism: Peromyscus maniculatus bairdii (prairie deer mouse)
Lineage: Eukaryota; Metazoa; Chordata; Mammalia; Rodentia; Cricetidae
Source: RefSeq, a predicted model, not a curated record
GGAACGCUGAGGAGACAAAAGGCAAAGAAAAUAGUUUAUCCACUUUAAUGGAGGGAGACUUUUAAUCACUACGGAUUCCAAGAAAUUUUGACUUAUGCAGGCAGGAGCUGGAACUCCUUGCAUUCCCUAGAGAAGAUUAUCUGCUGGGAAAGUGACUAUUCUUCAGACUUCCCGUGCUGUUGCAGGAUCUGUUUCUUCAAAAUGCUACAAGUCUCUUUUUAUCAUAUCCUCUAACCAAAUGGACAAUCAGUAGCCAUAUUAUUUGGAAACAAUAACAAUUUUCUUGCACAUACACACACAUUUUCAUUCUUUACUAAGAGAAAAGUACAGUUGUCAUUUUCCGUAAAUCUCAGUGCUCUCGAAUAGAAAAAAAAAAUAAGUUGCAGAAUGAA